This is a long non-coding RNA of Phacochoerus africanus (Common warthog), 1443 nucleotides long. RefSeq lists it as uncharacterized. NCBI's taxonomy places the organism in Eukaryota, Metazoa, Chordata, Mammalia, Artiodactyla, Suidae. The transcript has 2 exons. The record is from RefSeq and is a predicted model, not a curated record.
CACUGCGCCACGACGGGAACUCCUUGAUUUCUUGUUUUUUAAGCCAUGUGUGAAAUGGCUAUGACUUUUUCCUGCAAAUGUCCAAGCUGUCUGUUUUUGGCCCCAGGAGGAGGAUUUUUCGUUAAUUCUCAGAUGAUGAAAUUUUCUGCCGCCACAGUUUAAGAGAACCGUGAAGGCUUGGUCGGCUGGCACCUGCUCCUGCCAUGACGCGCGUUUCUGCAGUUAAUUAAUCUCGGGGCGGGGAAGGCAAGUGCUCCCUGUCGACUUUGCCAUAAAAUGUGCUGCAGGCUUCUGUCUGCCUUGCAUCUCCGUGCCCGUCCCCAAGACGGCCCACGCGGCCUCUCUGCUUCGAUUCCUUUGCCUCUGAAGCAAGACAGUGACGUUUCAGGACGUCGAUCAGAGCACACACCAUCGCGGUGUGUCUCCUUCUACGGGAAAUCAAACCCAGACUCGUCCCCGGGGCCUGCGUGCCCUGCCUGACCCGCCCUCCCCACAUUUCCGCCGGGGCUCUUGAAGCUCAGGUUCACCUGCUCCUCCCCUGUGUGAAUUCCCCAAGCUCGAGAGGGUCUCACAGCCACUUGAGAUGAUGUCUCGCUGCCAGGACCUCUCUCUCCCCCUCUUGGCUGGUAUCCGUUCACCCUGCUGGCUUGCCAGUCUUGGCCCAAAGUGCCACCGAAGGUGGGGGCCGGCCGCUCGCUGCGCUGAAGCCAGCAAAGGGGCAAGACUGCUAGGAAGGAAGGCUGGUGUUGUCUCGGGAGCCUGCAGCGGGCCGGGGAGUGGACGGACGGCGGCCUCGUGUCCAAGGGCCACGCCGGCACCCCCGACAGCCCGUGGGCAGGAGGGUGAGGGAGGGGCUCCGGGCCGACCAGCAGUUUCAGCUCUGGGUCAUCCCGAAACUGGUCCUGGGGUCGGGCCUGUGUCGUCUUGACUGUUUCAAGUACCCUGACUUCAUCUUCCGUUCCAGGAUGGGCUUGUUUCCACUUUCGUCGAGGGCAGGUCUCAGAGCUGCGGCAGCCGAUGUCACGGCUACAGUCUGGUCAUCACAUCUCGCCGAUGUCUUCCUUCCCGCAGGGAUUUUCAUGUCUAUAAAACAGCUCACAGGACCUGGCUCAGAAUGUGACCCGUGGCCCUCGAGGGGGAAUGGCAGACAAAAGCCAGGUGGAGGACAUGGGAGUGGGGGGCACCAAGGGGUCCUGCUUUGUUUCAAGAGGUUGCAUCUUCAAUCCUGCUCGGUCUCCUGUAGCCUCUCACCCGACUCGCCAGUCACCUGCUCACAUCUCCCUGCUUUAUUUCCUUCUCACAGUUUAAGAUUAUAAUUACUACUUACUAAAUUAGAUGUAAGUUCUUUAAAAUGAGGGGUCUUGCCUAGCGCUUGGCAGGGUUUACCCUAUGACAGGCAUAGGGCAAAUAUUUGUUGAAUUAAUAAACUAGUUCAUUAAUAAA